RNAcentral lists this transfer RNA (83 nucleotides) under archaeon. RNAcentral's name for it is "tRNA-Ser". It matches the Rfam family "tRNA". From Rfam's summary of the family: Transfer RNA (tRNA) molecules are approximately 80 nucleotides in length. The record is from RNAcentral. RNAcentral also lists the same sequence under 1 other name.
GCCGAGAUCGCAUAAUCUGGUAUUGCGCAGGACUGCUAAUCCUGUUUCCUUUGGAUAUCUGGGUUCAAAUCCCAGUCUCGGCG